Molecule: ribosomal RNA, 468 nt
Filed under: uncultured bacterium
Lineage: Bacteria
Description: partial 16S ribosomal RNA
Rfam family: Bacterial small subunit ribosomal RNA
Source: RNAcentral
GACGAACGCUGGCGGCGUGCUUAACACAUGCCAGUCGAACGGAAAGGCCCUGCUUUUGUGGGGUGCUCGAGUGGCGAACGGGUGAGUAACACGUGAGUAACCUGCCCUUGACUUUGGGAUAACUUCAGGAAACUGGGGCUAAUACCGGAUAGGAGCUCCUGCUGCAUUGUGGGGGUUGGAAAGUUUCGGCGGUUGGGGAUGGACUCGCGGCUUAUCGGCUUGUUGGUGGGGGGGGGGCUUACCCAGGCUUUGGCGGGUAGCCGGCCUGAGAGGGUGACCGGCCACAUUGGGACUGAGAUACGGCCGAGACUCCUACGGGAGGCAGCAGUGGGGAAUAUUGCACAAUGGGCGGAAGCCUGAUGCAGCAACGCCGCGUGCGGGAUGACGGCCUUCGGGUUGUAAACCGCUUUCGCCUGUGACGAAGCGUGAGUGACGGUAAUGGGUAAAGAAGCACCGGCUAACUACGUG